GCCUCUAUGGUGUAAGGGAUGCACAAUAGUCUUCGGAACUAUUAGUCCGGGUUCGAAUCCUGGUGGAGGUAC
RNAcentral lists this transfer RNA (72 nucleotides) under Streptomyces phage Beuffert. RNAcentral describes it as "tRNA-Arg". It matches the Rfam family "tRNA". Rfam says of the family: Transfer RNA (tRNA) molecules are approximately 80 nucleotides in length. Their secondary structure includes four short double-helical elements and three loops (D, anti-codon, and T loops). Lineage: Duplodnaviria; Heunggongvirae; Uroviricota; Caudoviricetes; Stanwilliamsviridae. The record is from RNAcentral.